UAAGGAAUAUUGGUCAAUGGACGCAAGUCUGAACCAGCCAUGCCGCGUGAAGGAUGAAGGCCCUAUGGGUUGUAAACUUCUUUUGUAUGGGAAAAAACCCCUGAUCGUGAUCGGGGCUGAUGGUACCAUAAGAAUAAGGAUCGGCUAACUCCGUGCCAGCAGCCGCGGUAAUACGGAGGAUCCAAGCGUUAUCCGGAUUUAUUGGGUUUAAAGGGUGCGUAGGUGGGUUAUUAAGUCAGUGGUGAAAGCCUGCAGCUUAACUGCAGAAUUGCCAUUGAUACUGAUAGUCUUGAGUAUAGUUGAGGUGGGCGGAAUGUGUCAUGUAGCGGUGAAAUGCUUAGAUAUGACACAGAACACCGAUUGCGUAGGCAGCUCGCUAAACUAUAACUGACACUGAGGCACGAAAGCGUGGGGAGCAAACAG
This 423-nucleotide ribosomal RNA is filed under the name uncultured bacterium. RNAcentral's name for it is "bacterial SSU rRNA". It matches the Rfam family "Bacterial small subunit ribosomal RNA", at positions 355 to 775 of the family's 1533-position model. The record is from RNAcentral.